GUAGGUGAACCUGCGGAAGGAUCAUUACUGGGUAAAGGCCUCGCGCCUCCAACCCCACCCUUUGUUACCGCGGCCCGGAUUCGGCGCCUGGCGUGGACCCCCCUCUGCUCGCGGAGGGGACCCCGCCUGCCGGAAUCAGCCAACCCUUUUGUAAACUGAAGUCUGAGAACAAGUUAAAUUAAACAAAACUUUCAACAACGGAUCUCUUGGUUCUG
This 215-nucleotide unclassified non-coding RNA is filed under the name rhizosphere metagenome. Its description in RNAcentral is "partial ribosomal RNA internal transcribed spacer region". The record is from RNAcentral.